This 1101-nucleotide long non-coding RNA is filed under the name Salmo salar (Atlantic salmon). RNAcentral describes it as "lncRNA (ENSSSAG00000105537.1)". Lineage: Eukaryota; Metazoa; Chordata; Actinopteri; Salmoniformes; Salmonidae. The record is from RNAcentral.
CCGCUGGCCUGGGACAUUGUUUACUGCCUCCAGCCAUUCGGGAUGCACAGUUUCAGGACGACUGUAGCUAAUGUUUAGCAAUGUGAAGUACAAUCAAACCAGAGAGGCUAACGCUAACAAGUCAGUCAUAACGUGGCUAAUAGGCUAAUAGGCUAAUAGGCUAAUAGGCUAGCGUAUCUAUUUAUGUAGCUAUUUAGCACGCCUAAAUAUAGAGCCUAAUGCUAGCUAGCUAGCUAGCUGCUGGGAGGAUGUCAUGUCAUUGGACGAGUGGGUGAGUGGCCGACUUUUUCCCCCCGUAUCGUUUUUAUUUUCAGUGGCUACAGCUAGAGAUGCAGGUGUCAUUUGGUUAGCUAGCAAGAAAUGUCAAUCACUUUUGUUAGCAAGCUAUAAUGAAAACUUGAAUGACUGUUAUCCACAAGUAGGGCCUGCUCCUCUCCUCCUCCAGACAGUAGGGCCUGCUCCGCUCAUCCUCCAGACAGUAGGGCCUGCUCCGCUCCUCCUCCAGACAGUAGGGCAUGCUCCGCUCCUCCUCCAGACAGUAGGGCCUGCUCCCCUCCUCUUCCAGACAGUAGGGCCUGCUCCGCUCCACCUCCAGACAGUAGGGCCUGCUCCGCUCCUCCUCCAGACAGUAGGGCCUGCUCCGCUCCUCCUCCAGACAGUAGGGCAUGCUCCGCUCCUCCUCCAGACAGUAGGGCCUGCUCCGCUCCACCUCCAGACAGUAGGGCCUGCUCCGCUUCUCCUCCCGACAGUAGGGCCUGCUCCAAUCCUCCUCCCGACAGUAGGGCCUGCUCCGCUCAUCCUCCAGACAGUAGGGCCUGAUCUUUCUCCUCCAUCUUUCUCACCACCUCCUCUGUCUUUCUCUCCUCCUCCUCCGUCUUUUUCUCCUCCUCCAUCUUUAUCACCUCCAUCUCCAUCAUCUUUCUCAACGCCUCCUCCAUAUUUCUCACCUCCUCCAUCUUUCUCACCGCCUCCUCCAUAUUUAUCUCCUCCUCCAUCUUUCUGACCUCCUCCAUCUUUCUCACCACCUCCUUCAUCUUUCUCUCCUCCUCCUCCGUCUUUCUCUCCGCCUCCUCAUCUUUUCUCCUCCUCCAUCUUUCUCAC